CGAGAUUGUGGUUUUCUUCCUUUAUUGGACGGUAACCACGAGAACUUGUCUAAACCUUAUCAUUUAGAGGAAGGUGAAGUCGUAACAAGGUUUCCGUAGGUGAACCUGCGGAAGGAUCA
Molecule: ribosomal RNA, 119 nt
Filed under: Pseudo-nitzschia inflatula
Lineage: Eukaryota; Bacillariophyta; Bacillariophyceae; Bacillariales; Bacillariaceae
Description: partial 18S ribosomal RNA
Rfam family: Eukaryotic small subunit ribosomal RNA
Source: RNAcentral